This 279-nucleotide unclassified non-coding RNA is filed under the name plant metagenome. Its description in RNAcentral is "partial contains small subunit ribosomal RNA, internal transcribed spacer 1, and 5.8S ribosomal RNA". The stretch from base 229 to 279 matches the Rfam family "5.8S ribosomal RNA", at positions 1 to 51 of the family's 154-position model. The record is from RNAcentral.
UCUCCGUAGGUGAACCAGCGGAGGGAUCAUUACCACACUUGCACCUAGCACGCCCCUGUCUGCGUACCUUUAAUUUCUUCUUCAUAUAAUCCACUUCUCCGUGAAAAGGUCCUCAGGGCCGCCAGUAAACACUAUAUUAAACUUCCUUUUUCUACUAUGAAUUAUACACAAGAACAUUUAAGUUAUAUAUCUUUACUGACUAUAAUGCUAGAUCAUUAAUUAUAACACCACUUUUAACAAGGGAUAUCUAGGUUCUCGCAUCGAUGACGAACGCAGCAA